RNAcentral lists this ribosomal RNA (493 nucleotides) under uncultured bacterium. Its description in RNAcentral is "partial 16S ribosomal RNA". It matches the Rfam family "Bacterial small subunit ribosomal RNA", at positions 28 to 507 of the family's 1533-position model. The record is from RNAcentral.
GACGAACGCUGGCGGCGUGCUUAACACAUGCAAGUCGAACGGUGAAGGGACCGGUUUUUGCUGGUUCUGGAUGAGUGGCGAACGGGUGAGUAACACGUGAGUAACCUGCCCCCUUCUUCUGGAUAACCGCAUGAAAGUGUAGCUAAUACGGGAUAUUCUGCGCCUGCUGCAUGGUGGGUGUGGGAAAGAUAUUGUUUCGGUGGGGGAUGGGCUCGCGGCCUAUCAGCUUGUUGGUGGGGUGAUGGCCUACCAAGGCGGUGACGGGUAGCCGGCCUGAGAGGGUGGACGGUCACACUGGGACGGAGACACGGCCCAGACUCCUACGGGAGGCAGCAGUGGGGAAUAUUGCACAAUGGGCGCAAGCCUGAUGCAGCGACGCCGCGUGAGGGAUGGAGGCCUUCGGGUUGUAAACCUCUUUCGCCAGUGAAGCAGGCCUGUCCCUUGUGUGGGUGGGUUGACGGUAGCUGGAUAAGAAGCGCCGGCUAACUACGUG